Molecule: transfer RNA, 73 nt
Filed under: Salmo salar (Atlantic salmon)
Lineage: Eukaryota; Metazoa; Chordata; Actinopteri; Salmoniformes; Salmonidae
Also listed under: 1 other name
Rfam family: tRNA
About the family: Transfer RNA (tRNA) molecules are approximately 80 nucleotides in length. Their secondary structure includes four short double-helical elements and three loops (D, anti-codon, and T loops). Further hydrogen bonds mediate the characteristic L-shaped molecular structure. tRNAs have two regions of fundamental functional importance: the anti-codon, which is responsible for specific mRNA codon recognition, and the 3' end, to which the tRNAs corresponding amino acid is attached (by aminoacyl-tRNA synthetases). tRNAs cope with the degeneracy of the genetic code in two manners: having more than one tRNA (with a specific anti-codon) for a particular amino acid; and 'wobble' base-pairing, i.e. permitting non-standard base-pairing at the 3rd anti-codon position.
Source: Rfam by way of RNAcentral
UCCCGUGUGGCUCAGCUGGUAGAGCAUGGCACUUACAACGCCAGAGUUGUAGGGUUCGAUUCGCAUGCGGGAC